This 459-nucleotide unclassified non-coding RNA is filed under the name Hevea brasiliensis (rubber tree). The record is from RNAcentral. Lineage: Eukaryota; Viridiplantae; Streptophyta; Magnoliopsida; Malpighiales; Euphorbiaceae.
GUUAAAUAUUAAAAAGGUAAAUACAAAUUGAACGCGAUACCCUCUUUCUAUGACUUGAUUAUUGUCAAAAUUGGCUUUAUUCUUUGUACUAUACAUCAAAACGUGGUUACAAGACCUAUACCUAGCUCCUCAGCAAGCUCAUCCCCUACAGGAAGAAGCGUCAACAAAACUAGGAAAAUAGCUGUUACAACAGCCGCUUUCCCUUUCCUCCAUGUACCAACCUCUGUCACGUCAUUCAAGCAUGGUUUUUCUGGAGCUCUCUGACAUAUCAAGACGUACAGUCCCCAUGGGAGAGAUAAUGGUCCACCAAGCACUCCCAAACCAAGUAAAGUGUAAGUUGUCAAGCCAAACCCAACUAGUGCAUUUUUCCCAAAAGCACCCUGUACAGCUCUUCCACCAUCAAGGCACCCCACAGGAAGCAUAUUAAAUGCUGUUGUAGUUAAGCCACACCAGCCUGCA